This 429-nucleotide ribosomal RNA is filed under the name Pulchrana picturata. RNAcentral describes it as "partial 12S rRNA". It matches the Rfam family "Bacterial small subunit ribosomal RNA", at positions 794 to 1436 of the family's 1533-position model. The record is from RNAcentral. Lineage: Eukaryota; Metazoa; Chordata; Amphibia; Anura; Ranidae.
GCCUAGCCGUAAAUAAUUAACUUACACCAAUCAACGCCAGGGGACUACGAGCAAUGCUUAAAACCCAAAGGACUUGACGGUGUUCCACCCAACUAGAGGAGCCUGUUCUAGAACCGAUGAUCCCCGCUACACCCUACCACUCCUAGCCUAUUCAGCCUGUAUACCUCCGUCGAAAGUUUACCAUGUGAGUGAUCCCAAGUAGACCCAAUGAUUCACCCAUCAAUAUGUCAGGUCAAGGUGCAGCCUAAGGAAUGGAAAGUAAUGGGCUACAAUUUCUAAAAUAGAACAUACGAAAGUCUAUGUGAAACCAUAGUCUGAAGGCGGAUUUAGCAGUAAAAAGAAAAUAGAGAGUUCUUUUUAACAUGGCUCUGGAACGUGUACAAACCGCCCGUCGCCCUCUUCGAUAAAUUUAACCACAGUUUCUAACCC